ACGAAGCCCGGAGCUUAACAUCGCCGGCGUUGAAGGCGAUCGUAGCAGCUCCGCUGCUUUUGUCAUUCUCGUACUUGCCCUUCAAAGAUGCCUUCAUCAUUUCACGACAAACAAAGGAGUUUCGUGACAAACGAAGGAGAUAGGCGGAGCAAGGAAAACGAGGAUAUGUCGAGGGUUUUAUUUGGUUUUAUAUUUGUUAUCGGUGCUUGCGAUUUUUUGGCGGCC
This 225-nucleotide long non-coding RNA is filed under the name Jatropha curcas. RNAcentral's name for it is "long non-coding RNA (JCUR_LNC001208)". The record is from RNAcentral. Lineage: Eukaryota; Viridiplantae; Streptophyta; Magnoliopsida; Malpighiales; Euphorbiaceae.